RNAcentral lists this ribosomal RNA (761 nucleotides) under uncultured bacterium. RNAcentral describes it as "bacterial SSU rRNA". It matches the Rfam family "Bacterial small subunit ribosomal RNA", at positions 771 to 1532 of the family's 1533-position model. The record is from RNAcentral.
AACAGGAUUAGAUACCCUGGUAGUCCACGCCGUAAACGAUGUCGACUUGGAGGCUGUUCCCUUGAGGAGUGGCUUCCGGAGCUAACGCGUUAAGUCGACCGCCUGGGGAGUACGGCCGCAAGGUUAAAACUCAAAUGAAUUGACGGGGGCCCGCACAAGCGGUGGAGCAUGUGGUUUAAUUCGAUGCAACGCGAAGAACCUUACCUACUCUUGACAUCCAGAGAACUUUCCAGAGAUGGAUCGGUGCCUUCGGGAACUCUGAGACAGGUGCUGCAUGGCUGUCGUCAGCUCGUGUUGUGAAAUGUUGGGUUAAGUCCCGCAACGAGCGCAACCCUUAUCCUUUGUUGCCAGCGAUUCGGUCGGGAACUCAAAGGAGACUGCCGGUGAUAAACCGGAGGAAGGUGGGGAUGACGUCAAGUCAUCAUGGCCCUUACGAGUAGGGCUACACACGUGCUACAAUGGCGCAUACAAAGAGAAGCGACCUCGCGAGAGCAAGCGGACCUCACAAAGUGCGUCGUAGUCCGGAUCGGAGUCUGCAACUCGACUCCGUGAAGUCGGAAUCGCUAGUAAUCGUGGAUCAGAAUGCCACGGUGAAUACGUUCCCGGGCCUUGUACACACCGCCCGUCACACCAUGGGAGUGGGUUGCAAAAGAAGUAGGUAGCUUAACCUUCGGGAGGGCGCUUACCACUUUGUGAUUCAUGACUGGGGUGAAGUCGUAACAAGGUAACCGUAGGGGAACCUGCGGCUGGAUCACCUCCUU